RNAcentral lists this ribosomal RNA (355 nucleotides) under Candidatus Falkowiibacteriota bacterium. RNAcentral's name for it is "bacterial SSU rRNA". It matches the Rfam family "Bacterial small subunit ribosomal RNA", at positions 935 to 1304 of the family's 1533-position model. Lineage: Bacteria; Candidatus Falkowiibacteriota. The record is from RNAcentral.
GAGCAUGUGGUUUAAUUCGACGAUAAGCGAGGAACCUUACCAAGGCUUGACAUCUAGCUGCAAGUCCCUGGAAACAGGGACUUCCUUCGAGGGUGCUAGACAGGUGCUGCAUGGUUGCCGUCAGCUCGUGUCGUGAGAUGUACGGUUAAGUCCGAUAACGAGCGCAACCCCUGCCCUCAUUUAUACUUUAUGGGGGGACCGCCAUGUUUAACAUGGAGGAAGGUGGGGAUGACGUCAAAUCAGCAUGGCCCUUAUGCCUUGGGCGACACACAUGCUACAAUGGCCAGUACAAAGGGUUGCCAAACCGAAAGGUGGAGCUAAUCCCAUCAAAACUGGUCUCAGUUCGGAUUGAGGU